RNAcentral lists this long non-coding RNA (707 nucleotides) under Heterocephalus glaber (naked mole-rat). Its description in RNAcentral is "lncRNA (ENSHGLG00100044896.1)". Lineage: Eukaryota; Metazoa; Chordata; Mammalia; Rodentia; Bathyergidae. The record is from RNAcentral.
UGAUGAAGGCUUUUUGACUCUCUCAGAGGGCUAGUCCUAAAGCUGAUUUGAUUCAGAAGAAACUACAGCUCAAAGGAAUGUGUAUGUGUUGGCAUUUCCUUGUCGUGGAAAGUCCCAGCCAGUGAUCAAUUAAAAUUGAAUUGAACAGUUCUGAUAUGUGCUCUGGCCAUGAUGUGCUGCCCCACUACCCGGUCUAAAACCAAUGAGACCAAACAACAAGGGACUGAAGCCUCCAAAACUGCUGGAAGUACUGAGGAACUCCUGAGUGCCCAUGCCAGCAAUCUGCAACUUUGACUUCCCCUCCCCAGGUGGAACAAGCCCCAGCUGCUGUGCAUCUGCUCCCAGUGCUCUCAGUGGGGCCCAGAAACCAUGGAGCCAAGUGACCAUGAACUAAACCUCUGGAACUGAAAGCCAAAACCUACGAACAAAGGAUAUCAUGUAACUUAAAGAAGAUUUCCAAAGCAUUUCAUUUUGGCCUUUUCAAGAGGCUGAAACAUGGGACCUUCUACUUCAACUAUCAUCUCAGCUUCACUUUUCCUGAUCUAUAAAGAACAAGGAUGGGGAAUGAGCACAAAAGAGGCCAGACUUAACUGGAAUGAAGUGUUCAUGUUGAGGGACUAUUUCUGGAUUCUAUAUAUUUCCAUACUCUUCCAACUUCAUUCAGGCAGGACCUCCAUUAGCCCUUUUCUCCAAGUAACCAGUGAGGA